AUUGAACGCUGGCGGCAGGCUUAACACAUGCAAGUCGAACGAGUGGCGGACGGGUGAGUAAUGGCUGGGAAACUAGCUUAUGGCGGGGGAUAACUACGGGAAACGGUAUCUAAUACCGCAUAGCAUCGGAUGUGACCAGGUGGGAUUAGCUAGUUGGUGAGGUAAAGGCUCACCAAGGCGACGAUCCCUCGCUGGUCUGAGAGGAUGACGAGCCACACUGGGACUGAGACACGGCCCAGACUCCUACGGGAGGCAGCAGUGGGGAAUAUUGCGCAAUGGGGGCAACCCUGACGCAGCCAUGCCGCGUGAAUGAAGAAGGCCUUCGGGUUGUAAAGUUCUUUCGGUAGCGAGGCGUUAACUACAGAAGAAGCACCGGCUAACUCCGUGCCAGCAGCCGCGGUAAUAC
This 406-nucleotide ribosomal RNA is filed under the name uncultured bacterium. Its description in RNAcentral is "partial 16S ribosomal RNA". It matches the Rfam family "Bacterial small subunit ribosomal RNA", at positions 30 to 526 of the family's 1533-position model. The record is from RNAcentral.